UUGACAGCUCAGAGGUUGCAAGCAGAAGUGUUCACAGUGCAACCCUGUCAGAUUCCACUGAAUCUGUGAAUUCUGCU
RNAcentral lists this ribozyme (77 nucleotides) under Crocodylus porosus (Australian saltwater crocodile). RNAcentral describes it as "Mammalian CPEB3 ribozyme (ENSCPRG00005009887.1)". It matches the Rfam family "Mammalian CPEB3 ribozyme". From Rfam's summary of the family: The mammalian CPEB3 ribozyme is a self cleaving RNA located in the second intron of the CPEB3 gene which belongs to a family of genes regulating messenger RNA polyadenylation. This ribozyme is highly conserved and found only in mammals. Lineage: Eukaryota; Metazoa; Chordata; Crocodylia; Crocodylidae. The record is from Rfam by way of RNAcentral.